GUAACGGCGAGUGAAGCGGCAACAGCUCAAAUUUGAAAUCUGGCCGCAAGGUCCGAGUUGUAAUUUGCAGAGGAUGCUUUUGGCGAGGUGCCUUCCGAGUUCCCUGGAACGGGACGCCAUAGAGGGUGAGAGCCCCGUACGGUAGGACCACCGAGCCUUUGUAAAGCUCCUUCGACGAGUCGAGUAGUUUGGGAAUGCUGCUCUAAAUGGGAGGUGUACGUCUUCUAAAGCUAAAUACCGGCCAGAGACCGAUAGCGCACAAGUAGAGUGAUCGAAAGAUGAAAAGCACUUUGAAAAGAGGGUUAAAAAGUACGUGAAAUUGUUGAAAGGGAAGCAUUCAUGACCAGACUUGGGCUUGGUUGAACAUCCGGCGUUCUCGCCGGUGCACUCUGCCAGUCCAGGCCAGCAUCAGUUUGCCCCGGGGGACAAAGGCGGUGGGAAUGUGGCUCUCUCCGGGGAGUGUUAUAGCCCGCCGUGUAAUGCCCUGGGGCGGACUGAGGAACGCGCUUCGGCUCGGAUGCUGGCGUAAUGGUCAUCAAUGACCCGUCUUGAAACACGGACCAAGGAGUCGUCUUCGUAUGCGAGUGUUCGGGUGUCAAACCCCUACGCGAAAUGAAAGUGAACGUAGGUGAGAGCUUCGGCGCAUCACCGACCGAUCCUGAUGUUCUCGGACGGAUUUGAGUAAGAGC
Molecule: ribosomal RNA, 689 nt
Filed under: Sarocladium spinificis
Lineage: Eukaryota; Fungi; Ascomycota; Sordariomycetes; Hypocreales; Sarocladiaceae
Description: partial large subunit ribosomal RNA
Rfam family: Eukaryotic large subunit ribosomal RNA
Source: RNAcentral